RNAcentral lists this ribosomal RNA (496 nucleotides) under uncultured bacterium. RNAcentral describes it as "partial 16S ribosomal RNA". It matches the Rfam family "Bacterial small subunit ribosomal RNA", at positions 29 to 507 of the family's 1533-position model. The record is from RNAcentral.
AUGAACGCUGGCGGCGUGCCUAAUACAUGCAAGUAGAACGCUGAAGCUUGGUGCUUGCACCGAGCGGAUGAGUUGCGAACGGGUGAGUAACGCGUAGGUAACCUGCCUGGUAGCGGGGGAUAACUAUUGGAAACGAUAGCUAAUACCGCAUAACAGUAGAUAUUGCAUGAUAUCUGCUUGAAAGGUGCAAAUGCAUCACUACCAGAUGGACCUGCGUUGUAUUAGCUAGUUGGUGAGGUAACGGCUCACCAAGGCGACGAUACAUAGCCGACCUGAGAGGGUGAUCGGCCACACUGGGACGGAGACACGGCCCAGACUCCUACGGGAGGCAGCAGUAGGGAAUCUUCGGCAAUGGGGGGAACCCUGACCGAGCAACGCCGCGUGAGUGAAGAAGGUUGUCGGAUCGUAAAGCUCUGUUGUAAGAGAAGAACGAGUGUGAGAGUGGAAAGUUCACACUGUGACGGUAUCUUACCAGAAAGGGACGGCUAACUACGUG